CAGAUAUGUUAGGAGUUUAUUAAUGAGAAGAGGUUGAGAAAAGUGUGAAUCAAGUUCCUAUAAUGAUGAAUAUAAAUGUAAUUAAAAUCCUUGAGAAGUUAUACAUUUGUGUAUUGACAAGACCAUUCACUAUUUCUGGUUCAAAUGAAAUAGAAAAACUAGAGGACCUGUUUAUAUGUAGGUAUCUGCACCUUAGAGUGUUGGGCCACGUCUUCAAUUGUGAUGCAAUAGUUUUUAGUGCCUGUUAAUGCAGUGUUUGUAACAAAAAUGAUUGUGAUAAUUCAUCAUUUUGUAAAUGGCCCUUUUGCUUUUAUUAGACUCUUAAUUCUUCUCAAGUAUCUAGCUAUUGUCCAAAAUGAAUUCUUAUUACUGUAAUUUUGG
Molecule: long non-coding RNA, 381 nt
Filed under: Carica papaya (papaya)
Lineage: Eukaryota; Viridiplantae; Streptophyta; Magnoliopsida; Brassicales; Caricaceae
Description: long non-coding RNA (CPAP_LNC004956)
Source: RNAcentral